Molecule: ribosomal RNA, 428 nt
Filed under: uncultured bacterium
Lineage: Bacteria
Description: bacterial SSU rRNA
Rfam family: Bacterial small subunit ribosomal RNA
Source: RNAcentral
GUAAAGCGCGCGCAGGCGGAUCAGUCAGUCUGUCUUAAAAGUUCGGGGCUUAACCCCGUGAUGGGAUGGAAACUGCUGAUCUAGAGUAUCGGAGAGGAAAGUGGAAUUCCUAGUGUAGCGGUGAAAUGCGUAGAUAUUAGGAAGAACACCAGUGGCGAAGGCGACUUUCUGGACGAAAACUGACGCUGAGGCGCGAAAGCCAGGGGAGCGAACGGGAUUAGAUACCCCGGUAGUCCUGGCCGUAAACGAUGGGUACUAGGUGUAGGAGGUAUCGACCCCUUCUGUGCCGGAGUUAACGCAAUAAGUACCCCGCCUGGGGAGUACGACCGCAAGGUUGAAACUCAAAGGAAUUGACGGGGGCCCGCACAAGCGGUGGAGUAUGUGGUUUAAUUCGACGCAACGCGAAGAACCUUACCAGGGCUUGACAU